This is a non-coding RNA of Anas platyrhynchos (mallard), 10790 nucleotides long. The record is from RefSeq and is a predicted model, not a curated record. Lineage: Eukaryota; Metazoa; Chordata; Aves; Anseriformes; Anatidae.
UUUUUUUUAAGAAAUGCAAGCCUGCAAGUAGUGCAAGGAGGAUUUAAAAGUUUGAUGGCUCUUUCUCCCUAGUAGAGAGAAUCUUCUUUCUCAGUAAGUACCAUUUAGCAGGUUGUUGGUUUUUUGUUUUUUUGGUUUUUUUUUGCUUCUUUUGUUAUCAAAAUCCCAUUCUUUUCAGAAGGUGAAAAAUAUCAUGUUUUAACAUUAGAUUUCCAAACUUCCCUGAAAUACACAUUAGCAGAUAACACCCACUAAAAGUGAAAGCUAAAUAUAGAUAUAUAAUAGUGCAUUGGCAUGCAAACUAGAUGUUUUAUCAUUUCUUAGGCAUAAAAUAUACAUACAAAAUAUUCGCUAAAAAUCUUCUAUUAUUUUUUAAGAACUCUAUAGACACAUUUGCCUCUGAAGUGCUCCAAGAGGAUCUCCAAAAAAUGAACUGACUGAUGUUCUCAUGUUUCUUCUACUGAUUAUUUUUACUUGUUUGUGUGUGUGUGUUUUCAUUUACUUGGUUUUUAGAUUGUUAUAUUGCCAUUACACAAAAGACAGAGUGAAAGCACAAAAGUAAGUAUAAAUAAAAUAUGUCAAACUGAAUAUCAAAAGUCAAGAAUUAGAGCUUAUACUAAAAUAGCACUCUAGUUGGCCCAACUCCAUAGUAUAGAAUCUACUUUUACUCUGGAAGAGGUUACUUGUGUAUUUCCGUUGAAAAUGCACCCUUCCUGUAACUUGCCUACCUGGAUAAGCUUUAAGCAGGGUGCCAUCUCUCUAUGUGCACACGGAAUCACCACACUCCACAGAAAUAUUUCCCUUUUAGAAUUACAAAACUGUAGGCUGAUAGGUAAUUCAGGUUAAAUUUCUUUCCUGGGCCAUUUCAGGUUGUGUUUUCAGAUUUGUAUUUUGGGAGCUUUCUUCUAGCUUCUGUUAAAGGCACUCAACUGCAUAUCUUUACUUAGAUAGCAGGUACCUUCAUAUUAAUUUUGGGUCUUCUUGCACAGAUUCAGGAAUGCAAUUUCAUUGUGAGUAGGAAUCAGACCCAAGAAUCUGUGGUCAUCUGAGUAAACUAAUCCAUGGGAUGGAAAAAUGGUCCCACACCUUGCAUCUAGCAUGCUUCUGGUAGAGAUGUUCAUAGAUUUUGCAGCGAUAAAAAGGAAUUUGACCCAGUGGUUUACAGAGAUUGAUGCUGAGCGUAAACAAUUGUCAUAUGGAAUUCAUGUAGCAAUAUUUAUCAUUAAUAGGACUUCUAUUCCCUCAUAAACUGCUGCAGAAGUAGAAAAGCACCAUCCCAGGGCUAUGUUGUCACUAAGCUCAUAGAAGUCCACUUCUGUCCUUUCAACCUAUUUUCCAGCUAUAUAAGGACUUGCAAUAUGGAAAUGUUAGACCAGGCUGCUUUCCUUACAUCUGGGAAGGAAACUCACCUACCUGCUCAGGACAGAGAGAGCUAUGACACACUCUCCCUCACCUAGUCUGGAUGACUGGUUUGCUAGGUCUGUGGGACAAACAACCAUAUACACUGUGCUAUACUGCUGCCAAUAUAUAAAGUAGAGGUGCCUAAAAGGCUCACUGUAGGAGCAAUGGUUCACUGCACUAGGGAUUAAUGUUUCUAAUAGCACAGAAUAUAGACACAACAACAUGACUGGAUGCCUUUUUUCCCCUUUUAAAUUUGCUGGGUACAUAGAGCAAAGGAACAUAAAAAAUGUUCAGACGAAGGUAGAUCUAAGAAUGUGCAUCUUAACUCCAACAGUUUCCAUCCUCAAAUGGCUAGAGAAGAGAAGGAGGAAAUCUCACAACUGAGUGCCCCACAUCACUCUCCCAGCCCCCAGCAGUUCAUAGCUCAGGGACUUCCUGAGCUAGAAAAAGUUGCCAACUUUGUUGGAGCAAUAGUGGGUAAAAUAUGCAGCGAUGACUCUUCUGUACCAGCAGGCUUUGUUUCACCCCAAGCGUUAUGCCAAACUAGUUGUAUAUCAUCAUGAAGAAUAACUGCAUUUGCCCAGAGUUGAUUUCCUAUGGCACAUUUUACUUAGAUACUUUCUCAACACCCUCACAAAUAUGCCAUAGAUCUAAAGCACAAUCUCCUUUUCAAAAUGAAUGGGUCUGAUUACAGGCGUAUUCAUUUUGUAAAAGGUACAAAAGGAUACAAAUGUGCCUUUCCAUCUCAUAUAAUGUCAAAGUAAGACCCUCUUGCCCUUUUAUUUCAAUCCCUGCAAUUUGAAAAUAAAAAAAAUGACUUGAUUAUAUGUUUUUUACCAUUAAGUGUAUAAUUGCUUUUGUGUUUUGACAUUUAAUUCCUCUUACCAAAAUACAUGGUAGGAAUUAAAAGUCAAAUCUUUUAUGUAUUUGAUGUACAGAUCCCUCCAUGUAUUUCAAUGAGAGAAAUAGAACAGUGAAACCUUAAAACAGGUACGGUAAAGCUAUCUGAAAGUGAAGUCGCUUUUCAUAUUGGAAAUCUGUGGACCCAGUCCUGCCCUUCCUUAUCUGGGCUGAAGGCUUUUUGAAAUCUCUGGAAGGUGCAGAUGAGUCAAAACUGUGUAAAACCUGGAGGACUUGACCUUUAAGAUAGAUCUGGGAUUAUACUUGCCCUGAAGGGCAGAUUUUAAGAAUGUGGUCCAGUCUGAAAAUGACUUCUGAAAGCCAAAGGACAGGAGCUGGCCACAAACUCGAGGGCACUGUCCUGGCACGGGAUGGAAGCUGUGAAGAUAAGUCCUAGUGGGGAGGGCUGGGAGCAACCAGGGCAACAGCAGGGCAUCCUGGAGGGCUCUGAUGUUGAGAGAAAAAUCACUCUCUACAAGCCAAUGAGAAGGCAUGGACACAUGCAAGGGGAGAUGGAUGUCGCUUAUGGAUGUUUCAUGCUUUUUGUCUCCCCUUCAUAGCAACUUAAAGUUUUUCCCACUUUUUAAGGGAAGUCACAGGGCCAGCAGCCUUGUCUUUCCCUUCUACCAUUCUACUGCUCUUUUUCCUCUCCUUCUUACAUGUAUAUUCUUUCCUUCCUUUCUGCCGUAAGAACUUCUCUCUUACCCUCUGCCACAUUCUUCCCUCUUUCUCAUAUUCUUCAAGCUUCCCUUUUUCCUCUGUUCUUCUGUUUCACAGCCUGUGCCCUUUAACUGAAUUGUCUCUGACUUCCUGCUUUCCUUUAUGGCAUGACAUAUUCUUCAUCUUUAUCUUUAUUCCUGUUCGUACUCAUCCAUAACCUACAUGCUGAGAUUUCCUCUGGCUGUAUUUUCUCCUUGUAGUCACUCCCUUGUGAUUUCUCCCCACGUGGUUAAGUCCAUCAGGACUUGAUCCUACAACCAUAGCUGUAUACACAGUUUACCAUGAUUCAGAUUUAUGGCUCCUAGUGCCAACUGCGAAAGUUUUCUAAAAUCCAGUAAACACAAGCUAGUUAGAAACUCAGACAGCUUGGGACAAGCCAAGCAAAGAAUGGUAGUGGCACAUAAGGAUAACUAAGAGUUCAGCAAUGUUCUUCUCUAUGUUAAUAUUCUCAAUUACAAAUUCUGUCAAGCUUUCACUGUGCCUAUUCACCAUAACCACUUCUCUAGGUGGAUACAGUCAUGGUGAAAGACCCAUGUCAUCUUUCUAUUUUUCCCAAAGCCAAGGGCAUCACAGUUUUCUUUCUUUUAUCUCAGAAAAGUGUCUUCAACACAGGUAAAGUAAUACACAAGAUGACAAAAAAAAAGAAAAGUAGACAGAGUAGGAAAGACUUGCACGAAAAGGAAGCAAGUCAGAUAGAGCACUGCAGCUGAGUGCAUCUCCACACACUAAUUGUAGAGUUACUGUAUCUCAUAGAGACACGCUUAGGUUCCCAUAAUGAAAGCAGCUUGCAUUGUAUGGAUGCCAAGUAUGUGGAUGCUUGAAGUUGUCUCCCUUUGGCCAUCACAUUUGCACUUUUCAGGGGAAAUGAAACAGCGUGGGGCUGCUCUGGUUCAUCAUUUUCAGGGGACUUCUUUCUCAGUAGCUCCAAAGCAUCUCGCUGCUGAUAGGACUGUGAGCAGUAAGCAUUGUCCAGGCAUGUUUCCAGGCAUUUUUCAGAGCAUAUUUACACACACAUGCAUGCAAACACAUGCACACACUUGCGCAGUUUUUCCAUCAUUGUUUACACAUGCAAAAAUUUCAAAUUAAAAAUUAAGAGGGAAUUGAAAGCCCAUGACAUGUAAAUCACCUAACUGGCCCCAAAUCAUACAUUCAAGCAAGGUCAAUAGUAGGCUUUACAAAAACAGAAGUGGAGCUAAUGCUAUUUAUGCUAAAUGAGUAACUGCAGUAAUAAAUAUUAUAGUGUUAUACCUAUGUAGGCCAGUUUUUUAAGAACUCUCAUUAAUAAAUCUUAAGAUCAGGUAUUCAGGAUAUCUUGAGUUUGUUCUUGCAGGUAACUACUUCACCAACAAGGUGGGUGCCAUUUAAAAAUCUGUAUCUUUGCUUGUGGGUUCUGUUUUCCAGUUUCAGGGUAAUAACCAACUCAAAGAGAUGUUGCAAAGUUAAACACUUAAAAAAAAAAAAUAAAAAAAUAAAGUCAAGUAAUCCUGAAACAGAAAUGUGCAAGAUAGGUGCAAAUCAUUGCUUUCUCUCAGCUCAGAGUGACCAAAGUCUUCAAUGGAUCAACUUGGAUCUGAUAGCCCUUCAGAAUAUACUUGCAUGCAGAUAAGAGUAAGUAUUAAUUAAUGUCAAACAGUUACAGAAUUUACUGCUUCUUAGCCUCAAAGGGAGCUGUUUCUCAGGAUGUAGAAUUUGGGUAAGAUGUUUUUUUGUUCAGCUGGAAGCUUUAUGGGGCAGAUUUCAUCCAUGGUCCAGAAGUAAAUGUCAGUUCCCUUGAGAUUUUGGAAUUUGAUGUGUGUUCAGCCCCAGAAGUCAGGUGAUGAACCACAAAUUCAGACUCUCAGAAACCAAACACUUUGGGCUUCUUAGAGGUUGGGUUUGUUGAUUUUUUUUAUCUUUGUUUUAGUUUUUUUUUUUAAUUUUGAUGGAUGAUGUUUUGUUCUGCAGUGAGUUUUAAUGUGUGCCGCUGUGGAACAAUUUCAAUUGUCGAAAACAACAACAAAAAGCAAUAUUUCAAUAUUUCUCAAGAAAAGGCUUCAAAGGUUUCAGAUCUUUUUAAAAUGUUUCUGCUUUAUUUUGACGUGGCAUAAAAGUUUUGUAUGCAUUCUCGCAUCCGCUAUUGUGACAGCUGUAUUUAAUGAGUGCAAAAUGAUCAGAAAAACAUCCUUUACUGUGGGUUGCCAUUGCCAGCAGAUGACAGGAGAGAGGCAGUACUAUAAUAAGAGAAGCAAUGAAGUUGUUCAUACUACUACUGAUGAGGUAUUUCUAACUCAAAUGUCUAGGUGUGCCUUUUGAAAAUAAUACAUUGGUCACAUUACCUGAUAGUUUCAUCAGAUUAUGUUUCCGAGUGUGUUUUGAAAUAAAACUGUGCAUCCUUUGCCUCAAGUCAUGAAGUGGUUUGUUGCCACAUAUUAUUUGUGGAUAACAGUCUGUUUCCCUAGGAUGAAGAAGAAAAGGUCCCAGUCUUGUCUAUAAAUAUGGGCCUUUCCAUCAAUUUGAUGCUAAGUAGAUCUAGAGUUAUGCUAGAAAUGAAACAUUACACAAUAUGUUUGCUUUCUGUUACAAAUGCAUAUUUAAUAUCAGAGUAUUUUAGUCCAAAUUGGAGAGAGUAUAAAAGUAAAUCUAAAUGGAUUUGAAAGGCAGAGUAUUUCUUUUUUUUCAAAGCUUUGUCAUUCCUGACUUCCUCUGGUGAUUGUUAGCUUAUCGUGCCUUUGUACAGGAGAUCUAAGUAUUUCAUUUUCUCUUGUGUCUCCAUAUGGUACCAUUUCCCAGAUAGUCUUUCUUUGGUCACAAGAUGACAGUGAGAAUGGAUUGUCAAACUGGACCACUAUGACACUUUACUCUGGGGGAGAAAAUCCUGUGGGUGUUUAGAAGCUUUACUGAAUGUUAUAUUUGAUUAACUUAUCCUUCUACUGACAAAUAAUUAGGUCAGCAAUUAAUUUCAAAAUGCAAAUGUGCUACAGGCCUUCAUGUUUUACGAAAUUCCCUUUGUCUUUAAUUUUUACUUAUGUUAAAGUCUUAAUGGAUUUAGCUGGGUGAAGGAACAAAAUUAUGUUUUCUAAUGCUUUAUUUACUAGGCUGAGUUGGACUUUUUUAGCAAAUAUUGACUGCAAAUGUUUGUUCAGAAAUGAUCAUGUGUGGUGGAAUUUAAUGGAAUAAGAGAACAGAAGAGUAAUGAUGAACCACUCAUUUAAAAAUAUAUAUUUUUUUCACACUUCUGCUGCAAAACGUUUAUCUGUCUUCAUGGAUGCAGAACAGAAAGACAAACCAGAGGGUCAGGAGCAGACUGUGGUAGCAAAGUCAUUAGUACCUGCUUAAGUAGUCUAAAAAAACAGGGUAUAUCAGAAAGAAAAACACGCUUAAUAUUGCUACAAGUGUGGCUCAAAGAAACCUAUCUACCGGCCUAUCUCAGGGACUUUAAUAUUAAACAAACACAGAUUAAAGGCUCAGUCCUUCCCAGCAGAAGCUCAUGGGAGUUUUCUGUUGACUUUAAAGGAGUGAGGCCUUUAAGUCUUAAGUUUUCUCUGAUUAAAAUCACACAAUUUUUUAGAAAAUAUUCCAAAUAUGCAGUUGUAAACAAACCCAAGUACCUAGCCUGAUAUAAAAUCUAAAAGAAUUUAUGUAGGUAAUGAACUUAUAUUAAAAUUUGCUAAUGGUUUAUUUGCUUGAUUGAUUUAAGUCAAGAAGGAGAGAAUCCACUGUGGAAUCAAGUGAGGUUUUUUCCUUACAAAAUUUUUACUCAUUUUAAAAUUAAAUCUUAAACUGCCCAUGAUAAUCUGCAUUUUUUCUUCUGCUUAAUUGUGUAAGUAGUUUUGGACAAAAUGAUAAUUAAAAAAGAUUGAAAGCCACAGUAUUUCAUUUUUUAUAUUUGAUUUUUCAUUCAAAUUAUAUAUUUACAUCACUCUUUCUUAAAUUACGAAUUCCAAUAGCUACAUGAAAAGAAUUCAGGAAAGAAAAAUAAUAAAAAUAUUGCAUUUUUAGGAUAUUUCCAUUCUGGAAAGAAAAGCAAAAGAAAAUAUUGUAUGGAGUCAAGAUCACCUGCCCCAUUUAUGCAGACAAAGCUUUGUUUCCAAUCUUUCCCAGAGGAUUAACCCCAGGACCCUCUUUCCAUCUUAAGCAGAGUCUGAAAAAUUUUUAAAGUUUCAAAAGAUGAGAGAAUGGCACAAGGCAUAAGUUUCAUUCUGAAUGAGAGAGAAUCUCUUUCUCUCCAGAGUUGUGGUAAAGAAAAUCAGAAAUGUAACUGGAUACAAGAGAGCAAAGCUGUUGGGAACUCUGCAGACAGAAGUAUCCUUGUAAGACAUGGACAAUGUUCAAGCUGCUCAGCUGGGCACUGUCAUGGGCCCAGUUAAAGCACCACAUUUUAAGAAAGAUGCAGCUUACAGAGACUGUCCAAAGGUUUGGAGUAGGAGUGAUCAGAAGUCUGGAAAAUAUGACCUGCAAUAAAAUCUGGACUGGGAUGAUUUCAUCUUAAGAAUAAACAAAUGAAAGUGGAUAUAAACAAAGACUUCAAAUCUGAAAAAAAAAAAAAAAAAAAAUCUGCAAAGUCAAGGAUGAGUUUGUGUUUGAGGCCUACAAAGAAACAACUGAAGGUAGCAAACCUAUAUUUGCUACCAGGGAGAUUCAAGUCAGACACUCAUAGUCUUUCUAUUUGUAGAGAGUUUGGAGCCCCUCUCACUAAAAAUCUUUGAAAAUUAGUUAAACAAACUACUGUCCAAAGUAACAUAAAUAUAGAUUCUGGCUGACAACAAUUUGUUAUCAGUUACUACUCUAGUUAUUACUCUGAUAUUUUUAAUUGACUUGAAGAAGAUGAUGCAACUCCCACUUGUGUGGAAGUAUAAAAUAAACUUUUGAAUGAAUCUAAGGAAAGAAACAUAUUAUGAAUGCCCACCACAGCUGCCAUUAUGAAUGGUAGCAAUUGAAGAUGUGGUUUUUCUACAGGACAGCUCAACAACAGUGAGACAGAAUGAUUUUCCUUAUCCUGCAAAAUGGAGAUGUUGUAUUUCCUUGUGGAGAUCAAAAGAGCAUUUCCUUUAGGAGUGCCAAGCAAUGGUGUAGGUCUGGUAACCUUCACGUAACCUAAAGAAGGAAGGAAGGAAGGAAGGAAGGAAGGAAGGAAGGAAGGAAGGAAGGAAGGAAGGAAGGAAGGAAGGAAGGAAGGAAGGAAGGAAGGAAGGAAGGAAAAAGAAAGAAAGAAAAAGAAAGAAAGAAAGAAAAAAAGAAAGAAAAAGAAAGAAAAAGAAAGAAAAAUCCUAUGCUCCCCAGCUGCAGGCAUCAUGGAAAAGUGCCUCAGGCCCCACACAUGUGACUUCACAGCAAAACCUAGAGCCAGCCCUGAGGGGUCUAGCACAGAGAGCAAAGUAAUGUGACUGUGAUUACAACAUGUGGAAAUUAGAAGCCCUCUUGUUUUAAGAAGAUGUACUAGGCAUAAACAUGCCUGUUGAUGUCUUGAUAUGGAUUUCUUGGACUGGACUUUGACAUCUCUACAACUGUGGAUCCUGAGACAUAUUUAACAUCAACAUAAAAAAGUUAGGAAGUUCAGUGUCUUUUAUCUACUCCCAAAAGCCAAUGAAGAAACAGAGCUGUCUUAUGUCAGAUUUUCCUUCUCCUUCACUUGAAAUAAGAAAGUGAGUGAAACAAGAAUAAUCCCCACCAUUUUAAAAGUGAGGACCACCCCAGUCAUAGCAGAAACACUUUUCUCGUUUGACAGAUGAAGCCAAAGAAUUGUUUUUAAGCAGUUUCCAUACCUGUGCCAUAGGCUAUUAUAGUUGACGUCUAUCCAUCCCAUACCAAAGGGCAGCAUAAUUUAUCUUGUAUCUCAAAUCAGGUAUAUAUAUAUCUUCGCCUGUUUGUAAUACUAAUUAAAAUAGUAAUCAGGAAUCUAAUUCUGUAAAUAGACCAAGUAAUGGUCAUCAAAGUUCAAUGAAAUAAGUUUUAUGUCACAAAGCUCAGUAGUGUUUGCAAACCCGUGCUUUCUGGCUGACAUUAUAAAAAUGACCUUCUUUUGAAAUGUCUGGACUUAAGGCCAGCCUACAGUGACCAGAGAAUAAAUGAGGACAUGGAGAAUAUUUGCCCCAUUUCUAAUGUUGUAGUUCUGUCCUUCGUAAUCAUUAAAGAUUGGAUAGGCCAUAUGGCAACUUCUGUCUUUCUUUAAACAGAAAAGGAGUGGGAAGAAGCAAAUAAAUAUACACAAGAGAAAGAGGGAAAAAGAGAAAGAGAAAAGAUUGCCGCAGCACUCUGACUUUCCUUCACCAAAGGUAAAAGACCAAAUGGUUCCUUUGCUUUGCUAAGGGCUAGCCCAUGGGCUAGGAUCCUGUGGUGCUGAACACUCAGCCUGUCACUCUGCUGCUGCAUGCCAGGGGGCUGUUUGCCAUGCUGUUGGAGGAGAGGGCUCUUGCAGGGAGCUGCUCCUCUUCAGAGCAUCUUCCCAGGGGGAACACUGGUUUGCAUCAGCGAGUAUUUAACCCACCUGUGACAGAUGCGGUGCAGAGCAGUGGUACUGAGUGUAAUAAGGCAGCUGAAUAAGGUUUGAUGAGAGUGGCUGCAGCAAUGUGCAGAAACAUCCUUCAGUGGAGCAGCUAGAGAAUACCAGCUGAGAGCUAGGCCUCACCUGUAAGGUGAAUAUAAAUCUUAUGCUGGGUUAUGCACCAAAACGCCCCAGAGAUCCCCACAAAUCCGUGUAAAGUGGGUCAGGAGACAAGUGCAACAAGCUAACAGAGGAGUUAUAUGAAUCUCUUGCAUCAUGUCUGCUGCUGAGAGUCGUGCAGAAAUUCCUGUGCCAAAGGCACUUUGCAAAGAAAAUCAGAGUGUGGCCUUUAUACAGAUUGAAGUCUCUGAGGAGGAAGUUGUAGAGUAACUUGAGAAACUCAAGUGCAGUAAAUCACCACAACCGGAUGGUGUUCAUCUGGGAGUUCUGAGGAGAAAUAAAGUGAGAAAAAGCCAAGAUACUGACAAGGGGAUGCCUUCUUCCCUUGAAAAAUGUAGCAGCACAAGAAGGCUGGGAAGGCCUAUUAUGUUGCCUGUCUUCAAAAGGAGAUGAGGAAAAUCCUGGGAAUUGCAGAGCUUUGAAGUUUACCACAGUUUUAGGGAGCCCAAUAAACCAGUUCCAAACAGUAGCUAAAGAGACAAUUUGUUGGACAGGAACACCCUAUGAGGGUGUUCCUCAGUCUUUCAAAUGACUGAGGCUGGUACCAGGGGACAAGUACCUCUCCAUAUGACUGGAAUAUUUUGAGGAACCAUUGGAGAGGCCUUCAUAGGGACAGGUGAGAUAAUAGGGACUUGUCAGAAGAGGGUGACCAUGUGCAAGUGUUCCAAAUAUUCAAAAGGUUUUGCAGAGGUCACUAAUAAGCAAUUGUUAUAGUGGAUAGUAAGAAAUAAAACUGAGAAAAAGAUCUAGAAGAUGAGGUGUUACUGGAAUGAAUUGCAAAUCAAUCCAGAGAAAGUAAAUACAUGAACAUUCCUCUUUCUGGUAAGGGGAAAUGUAAGCACUGAGCAGUGGGUUAUUAGGACUAGUUUUAUUAUGAAUAAAAAAGUCUAGAUCCCAAAUCCUAAUGUAUUUAAAUUAGAGUAUCCAGAGUCUACUCCAGAUCUAAAUCCAAGUCUCACAUGUGGUUCCUAUCAUAAAAAUGGACGAAACAGUUCCUGGAUUCAAACUUGUAAAGCUCUGAGGUUUGCAUACUCCAUAUCAAGCCCACUUGAUAGAUACAUAUGAAAUACAGAGUGUGGGUAUCUAUGUGUAUAACAUGCAGAGGAAACAAUUUGAUGCAAACUCAAAA